GUUCUUUGGCCAAGGGCAUGGGAGUAGCUACGCCCCUGCUAGAAGCUCCAAACAGACUGUUGAGAUCCACCUGUAGGAGAACGUAGGCUUGUCAAGGCUCCAAGACUCCACACACAUCCAAUGAAGCGCUGCAAGGCAGUCUGCCCUUCUU
Molecule: small nuclear RNA, 151 nt
Filed under: Ovis aries (sheep)
Lineage: Eukaryota; Metazoa; Chordata; Mammalia; Artiodactyla; Bovidae
Description: 7SK RNA
Rfam family: 7SK RNA
About the family: 7SK was discovered as an abundant small nuclear RNA in the mid-70s but a possible function has only recently been suggested. Two independent studies have found that 7SK RNA binds the CDK9/cyclin T complex (known as elongation factor P-TEFb).
Source: Rfam by way of RNAcentral